CAAUAGCGUAUAUUAAAGCUGUUGCGGUUAAAAAGCUCGUAGUUGGAUUUCUGUCAAGGACAACUGGUCCGCCCUCCGGGUGAGCACAUAGUUUGGUCUUGACAUCUUGCUGGAAGCUGUUGCUGCACUUGGCUGUGUGGCGCAGUGUUCAGCACUUUCACUUUGAGGAAAUUGGAGUGUUUCAAGCAGGCACAUGCCUUUGGACACAGUAGCAUGGAAUAAUUAGAUUGGGCUUUUGCUCCAAUUUGUCGGUUUCUGGAGCUGAGGUGAGUAUUAAUGGGGAUUGUUGGGGGCAUCCGAAUUUAGCCGUCAGAGGUGAAAUUCUUGGAUCUGCUAAAGACGGACAACUGCGAAAGCGUUUGCCCAGGAUGUUUUNAUUGA
Molecule: ribosomal RNA, 381 nt
Filed under: uncultured eukaryote
Lineage: Eukaryota
Description: partial 18S ribosomal RNA
Rfam family: Eukaryotic small subunit ribosomal RNA
Source: RNAcentral